UACAGAGGGUGCGAGCGUUAAUCGGAUUUACUGGGCGUAAAGCGUGUGUAGGCGGUUUGUUAAGUCGGGUGUGAAAUCCCUGGGCUCAACCUGGGAAUUGCAUUCGAUACUGGCAGGCUAGAGUACGGUAGAGGGCGGCGGAAUUCCGGGUGUAGCGGUGAAAUGCGUAGAUAUCCGGAGGAACACCGAUGGCGAAGGCAACCGCCUGGGCCUGUACUGACGCUGAGACACGAAAGCGUGGGGAGCAAACAGG
This 253-nucleotide ribosomal RNA is filed under the name uncultured bacterium. RNAcentral's name for it is "partial 16S ribosomal RNA". It matches the Rfam family "Bacterial small subunit ribosomal RNA", at positions 524 to 776 of the family's 1533-position model. The record is from RNAcentral.